UAAAGAUUCAUCGCUGAUAGAUAGGCAUGCGUUCCAUUAGGCAGUUGGCGGGGUAACGGCCCACCAAACCGACGAUGGAUAGGGGUUCUGAGAGGAAGGUCCCCCACAUUGGUACUGAGACACGGACCAAACUCCUACGGGAGGCAGCAGUGAGGAAUAUUGGUCAAUGGGCGUAAGCCUGAACCAGCCAAGUCGCGUGAGGGAUGAAGGUUCUAUGGAUCGUAAACCUCUUUUAUAAGGGAAUAAAGUGCGGGACGUGUCCCGUUUUGUAUGUACCUUAUGAAUAAGGAUCGGCUAACUCCGUGCCAGCAGCCGCGGUAAUACGGAGGAUCCGAGCGUUAUCCGGAUUUAUUGGGUUUAAAGGGUGCGUAGGCGGCCUUUUAAGUCAGCGGUGAAAGUCUGUGGCUCAACCAUAGAAUUGCCGUUGAAACUGGGAGGCUUGAGUAUGUUUGAGGCAGGCGGAAUGCGUGGUGUAGCGGUGAAAUGCUUAGAUAUCACGCAGAACCCCGAUUGCGAAGGCAGCCUGCCAAGCCAUGACUGACGCUGAUGCACGAAAGCGUGGGGAUCAGACAGGAUUAGAUACCCUGGUAGUCCACGCAGUAAACGAUGAUCACUAGCUGUUUGCGAUACACAGUAA
This 637-nucleotide ribosomal RNA is filed under the name uncultured bacterium. RNAcentral describes it as "bacterial SSU rRNA". It matches the Rfam family "Bacterial small subunit ribosomal RNA", at positions 202 to 842 of the family's 1533-position model. The record is from RNAcentral.